CGGAACCUCUUUGGGUGCUGGGG
This 23-nucleotide unclassified non-coding RNA is filed under the name Mus musculus (house mouse). RNAcentral describes it as "oocyte_clustered_small_RNA974". Lineage: Eukaryota; Metazoa; Chordata; Mammalia; Rodentia; Muridae. The record is from RNAcentral.